AAGCAAUUAUGACAAUUUACUAGACGCACUCUCUCAAGCUACGCUAGCUCGAUUCGCAUUACAGUUCACUUAGAUCGCACCCGAGGUAUCGUUAUCUCUAAUCCAACCUCUAAAUCCUCGGUUAUGACUCUCGUCUAUACUCCGGGAGUGGUGUUGUUCAAACAACUACCUAAAUAUGUAUUAUCUCUCCAGCAGAUACAUCUUAUCUCUAAUCCAACCUCUAAACCCGCGGUUAUAACUCUCGCUUAUACUCCAGGAGUGAUGUUGUUCAAACAACUUCCUAAAUAUGCACUUUCUCAAGCAGAUAUAUAAUAAAUAGGAACGGCUAAUUGAAGAUCCUUUCAAUUAACCAAAAUCAAAACGUAGUUGAAACAAAUAGAGAUUAACAACCAACUCAAAACUAUAUUAAUAUAACACCAAAUUCAUCCCCAAUGGGUUUCACCAAAACCUUAGAUAAAAAAUUAGCUAUUCAUAAUAGUAUGUAAAACUACAAUAUCAAAAGUCAUAACCAACAUUGAAAAAUAAGAAGAGGAAGGAAAAACUUGUUGAAGUAUUCCCUGCCUUGCUCUUAUUGCGUCUCUGCCUCCUUAGGUCAAAUAUGUGUCAAAAAUAUGUCUAACUCCCCAAAAAUACCAUUUUUCCAUGUAUAUAUAUACUAAGUAGGGUCGGGCCCAAAUAAUUAUACCUUCUCCUAUAUGAAAAAGGACAAUAUUUCACGUCUGGACUGCCUCGGCCGCGGUGACGACCGCGGAAGGCACUGUCUCAAACCGUGGCGCGGACCGUGGUGACAACCAUGGUGAAAUUUCUACCGCAUUUUUCACUCUGUUAUGUUUAGAAUUUGAAAAAACGUAAAACAUAAAAGUUGUAACCCUUUAAGUUAAAUUUCUAACCAUAUAAUGUGGAGCUCAAAUGGAGGUAUAAAAAAAAGUUAUGUCUAUUUUAUUAGACAGUGCAUAAUAUACCUCCUCGAGUCUUUGUUCGUACUUAAUUAUCAAAUUGACCUUUGAACCCGAUCCCAGCUUAAUUUCUUGAGCUCUUACUCAGAUUUCAAAGAUUCAAAUCACUUCAUUUCAUUCUAUAACUUCUAUAUAACUCGAAAUCACACCUACAAAGCAUAAAACACACUCUUAGUGCAAAACAGUAGUGAUUAAAGCGCAAACUCAACUAAAGUACAAUAAAUUAAAGUGUUAUAAGGUGUUUAUGAUUCCUGUUUUGGCCGAGGGGCUAUUUACGAACUAUGUUUUGCCCGAAGGGGCUGAUUAUGGUUUUUAUCUCUUUUAUUAUAAAUGGUAUCGUACCCCUACUGAAACUGUUGGAAGGUAUUUCAAAUGAUUUUUACCAAAAGCUGUAUUUUGAAUGAGACGAUUGACUCAUAUUCUGAUUUGAUAGCCUGUUGUACUUAUUUAGCUUAUCAUAAAUGUGGAUUCAUCAUUUUCUACUGUUCAAUAUUUAUUUACUCUUAUUACUUACUGGGUUGGAGUAAUCACAUUACUCCCUGCACCUCGUGUGCAAAUUUAGGUAUUUCUCAACCCAGUAGUGGGUGUUGGUUGCUUAGACGCGGAAUCAUCAGAGUUAGCUAACUCGUUGGCUGCACGACGUUCGCAGCACUGCCUCCUUCCUCUCAUUUUGUUACUGUAUUUAGUAUAUUUUUAGACUCUUAAUGUAUUCAGACCUUGGUAGAUGCUCAUAGCUAGUGACACCCUGAUGUCAAUCUUGUAUAUUAUUUCCAUACUGUUUCUUUAGACUUAUGCUAUGAAACAUUUUGUUUUAAUUAAAGGCUUAAAUGACUCUUAAUUACUAAAGGGUUAAUAUGAGUGUCGUUUUGGCUGGCCUAGUCAUUACGAGAGGUGCCAUCAUGACCGAGCCGGUUUGGGAUCGUGACAUAAGUAUGUUAGAGUGUGUCCUCCCAAAGUGAAAGAAUCUCCCUUUAUAGAAGAGAGAAGAACUUGAAUUAUUAUUACCAAUAUAUCCAAAGGACAUGUUUUCACCAAAAAUAUGUCCAAACUAUUUAAAGGACAGAUUUUUUGGUCAAAAAUCUGUUCAAAGGAUAAACUUUUAUCAACUAUGAAAAAUAUUCAGAGUAUUGUACUCCAAAUAGUCUAUAAACAGUAAAAAGUAAACCAAACAUGUAGCCUACUUCAUCAUUUACCUUUACCCUUCACAAACUAAUAUCAAACAAACUAACCAAUUCAAACCAAUGUAAAAAUAGAAAAUUCAGCAUUCAACUUAGCCAAUUAAACUAGUGCUGAUAUUACCAAUCCAGGGGAAAAAUCUACGAUUAGGCAGAACACGUAUUAUAGUGAAGUAAUUAAUCACAACAUAACUAACUAAGCGUAGAAAUAAAAAAAUAAUAUAAGAAGUAAUGGAUCGAGCUUUAUCAGUACUUAAAUCUAAACAAACUAACGAAUCAAAUAAGAAAAUAAAAAAUCUGAGACAAAGAAAAGAGGUUUAGGAAUUUUACCCAACUCGAACACUCGGGCAACAGCGGGAUAGAAGUGUUAGAUCCCAAGCAAGCUCUUAUUGUUGAUAAACACCAAAACAUUUGAAGUUUAGAGAAAUGAAGUUCGAUAUCGGUGUAGUCACCAAUAAAAUCUCGCUCGAGGUCGGAAUACAUACAAAAAGACGAAGAUUGAGUGCGUUUUAGUGGUUGCCGACAUCGGAUCGACAAUGGGGUGGCAAGACGGCAGCUUCGAUGGAGAUCGGGUGAAAAUCAAUAUGAAAAGAUAGCCCCCUUCUGAGCUCUAUCUAUGUAUGUAAAAAUUAGGUGAAAAUGGUGGCCCAAUCUUCACGAAUUUGGAAAAAAAGAUGACAGCUUGGGUUUCCCAUAUCUAAAAUUUGUGAAGUUUGAGGGAGAAUUAAAGGAUUCGAGGCUUUUGUUAGUGUUAAGAACGGAGAGAGGAAGGUUGGGUGAAGUUUUUGGGUAGAUUGGAGCCACCUCCGCGGGGGUGACUGGUGGCAGUAACGGUGGUGCGGCAGGCGGUGGUUGAGAGAAACAGAGAGAGAGAUAGAGGAGGCUAGGGGUUGUAUUAUGUGAAAAAUUUCCAAAAAAAUCUGAUUUAAAAUGGCUUAUAUAUCUUAUAAGAGUUUCAACCAAGACUGUUGGAUCUUGAGCAUUGAAGGGAUAAAGUUGGAUUUUGC
Molecule: long non-coding RNA, 3138 nt
Filed under: Nicotiana benthamiana
Lineage: Eukaryota; Viridiplantae; Streptophyta; Magnoliopsida; Solanales; Solanaceae
Description: long non-coding RNA (NBEN_LNC021205)
Source: RNAcentral